GGUAAACGCUGGCGGCGUGCCUAAAACAUGCAAGUCGCACGGGGAGCUUCGGCUUCCAGUGGCGGACGGCUGAGUAACGCGUGGGCGACCGGCCCGGAGAUGGGGAACAACUUCUCGAAAGAGGAGCUAAUUCCGCAUACGCCUGCAGGGUCAAUCCUGUAGGGAAAGCUUGUAAGAGCGUCUCCGGAGGGGCCGCGUCCGAUUAGCUAGUUGGUGGGGUGACGGCCUACCAAGGCGAUGAUCGGUAGCUGGUCUGAGAGGAUGAUCAGCCAGACUGGGACUGCGAAACGGCCCAGACUCCUACGGGAGGCAGCAGUUAGG
RNAcentral lists this ribosomal RNA (321 nucleotides) under uncultured bacterium. Its description in RNAcentral is "bacterial SSU rRNA". It matches the Rfam family "Bacterial small subunit ribosomal RNA", at positions 28 to 359 of the family's 1533-position model. The record is from RNAcentral.